GGCAUUUUACCUCAGCGCGGAGCGGUGUCCCCAGGCCAGCGGGGGGCAUCUGCGCUCCCGGCUCGGCCCCGCCGGUGCCUCGGCGCAGGGUAGGGAGCUGCGGCCGGGGGCGAGCGCCCCUUGCUCACAGCCCAGCGCUCCCGCCGAAGCUGGCCAUUGCAGUCUCUGUAAUGGCACUUCCAGGGGUGAGUUCCUGCUUGCGGCGUUAAUUCCUCCAGAUGACUUGGGAUGAGUCUGACUAACUGCAAGUACAGAUUUCAAGAAUAGCAUCUCCUGCUGUUUCUUGAAUGGAGAAGCCAAAAGAAUUGUGACUCACGGUGAUUUGCAGCCCAAUAGCAGAUCAAGGAAACUUAAGGCUUAUGUCUGUAAAGUGGACUCUGGCUGUCAGGGGAGAGGUAUCUUCAUCACCAAAUCUGUGAAGGACAAAAAAGCAGGACAGGAUAUGAUCUGCCAGCUCCGUGCCUCAAGGGUGAAUCAUUCUUCAAAAGAAGCAAAGAAGGAGACUGAUAGUAGGGAAUACAGCAUUCUGCAACAAAACCAGCCAAGGAUAAGUGAAAAGAAAAGCAUAAAACACUGCAGCUCCCUGCUAGACUCAGCUGCUAUCUUGGAUGACUGUAACUCUAAUGCAGACUCAAUCCAGAUCAUGCGGCCUUAAGCAAGCCUCUACUCUGCGGUGCUGUUUAUCUAUAGAAGAGAGGAUCUCUCAGAUUUUGGGAGACAGUGUUCUUCAUCAAGAGCUGACAGAACCAUUUUGUUGUUUCUUUUUCUUAAAUAUAUUCCUUGGCAAUUGCUAGUGUGAAACAUCCAUCAAUAGAUGACCAGUGAAAUUUGCCUUAAAAAAAAAAAAAAAAGUCAAGAGUUUAUGGGUGUCCUGAUGUGGAACUGUUGUACUGGAACUUGAUGUAUACAUGCUUACUAUGGUAGUAUCCAAUUACUGCCACCUCUUCUUUCUUCUUCAAUGAAAAAUCCUUUGUUAAGAAUGCUAGUGUGGUCUAUUCAGCAGAAUAUAGCUAGUGAGUAAAUAAAGUUCUCUGUACUGACUUCAGCUGAAUAACUGUAUCCUUGCACCACAUCUUGGAAUUUUCCUCUUCACGAGGCAAGAUACUUUUAAAAUAAGUAUAUAUGUUUAUGACUCUUCAUAAGACUGUAAAGAAUGUAAAAAUAAAUACUUUAAUGUGGUA
This is a long non-coding RNA of Rhea pennata, 1181 nucleotides long. RefSeq lists it as uncharacterized. Lineage: Eukaryota; Metazoa; Chordata; Aves; Rheiformes; Rheidae. The transcript is spliced from 5 exons. The record is from RefSeq and is a predicted model, not a curated record.